CCCCGCUUAGCUCAGUUGGAAGAGCAUAUGACUGUAAUUUAAUCGAUAUCAUGGGGUCGCCUGUUCAAUCCAGGCAGCGGGGA
Molecule: transfer RNA, 83 nt
Rfam family: tRNA
About the family: Transfer RNA (tRNA) molecules are approximately 80 nucleotides in length. Their secondary structure includes four short double-helical elements and three loops (D, anti-codon, and T loops).
Source: Rfam